GUCUUUGCGCUUGGGGCAAUGACGCAGCUAGUGAGGUUCUAAGCGAGGCGCGUCUCUUGCUGGUUGAAAACUAUUUCCAAACCCCCUCUCCGGCCUGGGCUUGACCUUGGCCGUCGAGAAUUUCUGGAAGGGCUCCCUCGGGGUAAAGCC
RNAcentral lists this small nuclear RNA (150 nucleotides) under Jatropha curcas. RNAcentral's name for it is "U4 spliceosomal RNA". It matches the Rfam family "U4 spliceosomal RNA". Rfam says of the family: U4 small nuclear RNA (U4 snRNA) is a component of the major U2-dependent spliceosome. The structure of U4 snRNA from yeast and human has been reported. Lineage: Eukaryota; Viridiplantae; Streptophyta; Magnoliopsida; Malpighiales; Euphorbiaceae. The record is from Rfam by way of RNAcentral.